Molecule: long non-coding RNA, 721 nt
Filed under: Homo sapiens (human)
Lineage: Eukaryota; Metazoa; Chordata; Mammalia; Primates; Hominidae
Description: p53 upregulated regulator of p53 levels
Source: RNAcentral
AGGAUGGUCUCAAUUUCCUGACCUCGUGAUACACCCUCCUCGGCCUCCCAAAGUCCUGGGAUUCCAGGCGUGAGCCACUGCGCCUGGCCGUAAAUUUUUUUAUUUUAAGAACGAAAUGAAGUUAGACUCUGUUUCUUACAUUUGGAGAUGAAGAAUUGUCCUGUAAACAUGUAGGCGCAAAGGAUAAAUAUAUAUUGAAAAUGUGAUAGAAGGCAUUGGAGUGCUACCCAGAAAAUUAUGAUGUAUGACAAUAAAAUUGAGAAGAGAAGGCAGAUUCAAAGAGGAUCUCUCCCUGUGGUGCCUAGGUUGGUUUAAAACUCUUGGCCUCAAGCGAUCCUCCCACCUUGAAUUCCCAAAGCAAGGUGCUAUUAGUAAUUGGCUCAGAGAACUCGCCAUUAGGGGCAGUGCAUCACUUAACAAUGGCUGGGCGUGAAAGAGAAUGCAAUUGGAGAAACUGGUUGUUUUACCAGGCGUUGAUUGGAAAUGUGUGCUUCCCUUUAAGCAGUCAAGCUCAACUUGCAGAACUGAUGGGAACCCCUUGGGAAAACUGGCCUCAAAUGUUUGUCUACACAGUCCACAUACAGGGUUCUUAACCUGCGAUGGAGUCUUGUUCUGUGGUCCAGGCUAGAGGGCAGUGGCAUGAUCUCGGCUCACUACAAGCUCUGCCUCCCGGGUUCACGCCAUUCUCCUGCCUCAGCCUCCUGAGUAGCUGGGACUACAG